AAGGUCUUAUGUUAAGCAAACAAAUAGCCUUCAAAGCUAAAAUUAAAAGUAAUAUCCUUUUAGGCCUUA
RNAcentral lists this transfer RNA (69 nucleotides) under Neurobasis chinensis. RNAcentral's name for it is "tRNA-Trp". Lineage: Eukaryota; Metazoa; Arthropoda; Insecta; Odonata; Calopterygidae. The record is from RNAcentral.